This 259-nucleotide ribosomal RNA is filed under the name uncultured prokaryote. RNAcentral's name for it is "partial 16S ribosomal RNA". It matches the Rfam family "Bacterial small subunit ribosomal RNA", at positions 524 to 782 of the family's 1533-position model. The record is from RNAcentral.
UACGGAGGAUGCGAGCGUUAUCCGGAUUUAUUGGGUUUAAAGGGUGCGUAGGCGGCUUUUUAAGUCAGCGGUGAAAUUUUGCAGCUUAACUGUAACAGUGCCGUUGAUACUGGGGAGCUAGGAUUUGGUUGCUGUGGGUGGAAUGUGUGGUGUAGCGGUAAAAUGCUUAGAGAUCACACAGAAUAUCGAUUGCGAAGGCAGCUCACAAAGCCAAGAUUGACGCUGAGGCACGAAAGUGUGGGGAUCAAACAGGAUUAGA